RNAcentral lists this ribosomal RNA (1055 nucleotides) under Saccharomycopsis fibuligera. Its description in RNAcentral is "SSU rRNA". It matches the Rfam family "Eukaryotic small subunit ribosomal RNA", at positions 63 to 1130 of the family's 1831-position model. The record is from RNAcentral. Lineage: Eukaryota; Fungi; Ascomycota; Saccharomycetes; Ascoideales; Saccharomycopsidaceae.
GCGUAGUUAGCAUUAUACAGUGAACUGCGAAUGGCUCAUUAAAUCAGUUAUCGUUUAUUUGAUAGUACCUUUACUACUUGGAUAACCGUGGUAAUUCUAGAGCUAAUACAUGCUAAAAAUCCCGACUGUUUGGAAGGGAUGUAUUUAUUAGAUAAAAAACCAAUGCACUUCGGUGCUCUUUGGUGAUUCAUAAUAACUUCUCGAAUCGCAAGGCUUCAUGCUGGCGAUGGUUCAUUCAAAUUUCUGCCCUAUCAACUUUCGAUGGUAGGAUAGUGGCCUACCAUGGUUUCAACGGGUAACGGGGAAUAAGGGUUCGAUUCCGGAGAGGGAGCCUGAGAAACGGCUACCACAUCCAAGGAAGGCAGCAGGCGCGCAAAUUACCCAAUCCUGACACAGGGAGGUAGUGACAAUAUAUAACGAUGCAGGGCCCUUACGGGUCUUGUAAUUGGAAUGAGUACAAUUUAAAUACCUUAACGAGGAACAAUUGGAGGGCAAGUCUGGUGCCAGCAGCCGCGGUAAUUCCAGCUCCAAGAGCGYAUAUUAAAGUUGUUGCAGUUAAAAAGCUCGUAGUUGAACUUUGGGCUUGGCUGGCCGGUCCGUUUUUUAACGAGUACUGGUUUUCAGCCGAGCCUUUCCUCCUGGUUUCUGUGUAGUUGGGCUUGUCUCAGCUGCAUAUGAUCCAGGACUAUUACUUUGAAAAAAUUAGAGUGUUCAAAGCAGGCGUUUAGCUCGAAUAUAUUAGCAUGGAAUAAUGAAAUAGGACGUAUGGUUCAAUUUUGUUGGUUUCUAGGACCAUCGUAAUGAUUAAUAGGGACGGUCGGGGGCAUCAGUAUUCAAUUGUCAGAGGUGAAAUUCUUGGAUUUAUUGAAGACUAACUACUGCGAAAGCAUUUGCCAAGGACGUUUUCAUUAAUCAAGAACGAAAGUUAGGGGAUCGAAGAUGAUCAGAUACCGUCGUAGUCUUAACCAUAAACUAUGCCGACUAGGGAUCGGGUAUUGUUCUUUUACUGACUCACUCGGCACCUUACGAGAAAUCAAAGUUUUUGGGUUCUGGGG